This is a long non-coding RNA of Hyaena hyaena (striped hyena), 1463 nucleotides long. RefSeq lists it as uncharacterized. The record is from RefSeq and is a predicted model, not a curated record. The transcript is spliced from 2 exons. NCBI's taxonomy places the organism in Eukaryota, Metazoa, Chordata, Mammalia, Carnivora, Hyaenidae.
GCCGGAGGGUCCCGCGCGCCCGGCCGAGACGGACCCGGCGCGGGCAUGGAGGACGGCGGCCAGCGCGCGGCGGGGGCAGGAGGCGGCGCGGCCGGGCCCCCCGCACCCUAGUCCUCGGCGGGAGGACGCGGGCCACCGAGCUACCCAGCCCGGCCCGGCCCCGACCCGCCCACACGCGUCGCGGCCGAUGGCCGAUUGCACAGAACCUCACCAAACGGGUCCUCUUCGUCGGGCUCGAGAAAAAAAAAAAAGCAUUUGACUGCGGCAGACCUGUUGCCUCACGUUGGCCGGGGUGGGGGAAGCAGAAAGGAAAAAUUCUGCAGCAGGGACUUGAGUGGCCCCGAUCAGCAAGGCGUGGCCCCCCAAGGCCAGGACCGCACGGGAGAACCUCCUCUAGACGGGCUUGGACGGUCCUGGAGGCCCCGGGCGCGCUGCUCCUCGUGUUCCAGGACGGCCAGGCUGGGCCCCGAGGGGAGCCGGGAAGGACCCCAGGCCCACAGCCGCCCUGCCACUGGCUGCUCGCGGCCCCCAGUGCUCCGAGUUCCUGGCCCUGAAAACCGCAGGGGUCUGGUCAGCCCCAGGGACCGAGUGGCCCAGUGUCACACGGCCUGCCCUCCUUGGCCGUCCAGCUGGAGGCCGGGUCCUGGGUGAAAAGCUCUGCCUGCCCGACCCGGGGGACCGAGGCCAGACGCGGCCACCAUAUACCCCCUGCUGUUUCCCACACACAGGGUGUGCUGGCUGACGACCUUGCGCCAAGUGUCCUGGGCUCCCCGGGCCCCGGGCCCCUCCUGCACCCCGUCCCUCUCCACCCAGGACCACUUCUGGGAGCCUGGCAGCCUGCUGACCCCAUCCGCAGAUCUGUGGGGACAGCCUGCGAGGGCCCCACGGGGCUGCCUGAGCGGGGAGGACGAGGGGCCUCCUUGGGGCUGAUCCACAGAUGUGCCCCCUCAAGCCCAGGUCUCACCCUCGGGGUGACCUCUCCAGCUGCAGCCGUGUGGGGCCUAGGACACCUCUUCCCAACAGGGAGAGGUGUGGGGGGAGCCUCAGGGAUGCCCGGGUCUCCCCCUCCCCGAGGGCACAGAACUCUCUCCGGGGCCCCCGGGACUGGGGGGGGGGGCGCACAUCCUCAGCAUGUGUUCUUGCCUCUGCUUUUCUGACCAUUUUGGCCUUGAGUAGUUAGCGUGCUUCCUGCCACCGCCUCCCUCUUCCCCCGACGGGCCCCAGCUGCCUGGGGGCUCUCAGUGCACUUUACUGAUUUGCAGUCUGUUUCCCAGGCAGCGAAGCUUCCACGAAAUCAGAGACACGAGCUCAAAAGGAUGAGUGUCACUUUCCUGCGUGUCAUUAACUGUACCGGACAGCGCCGUCUGCUGAGACCUGUUCUUGUUUCUGGUUUUGUCCACUCUUGUCACUCUAAGUUAAAAAAAUACACAGCUCGCGAUCAAUAAAAUACAAUCAACCCGGAG